Molecule: long non-coding RNA, 1277 nt
Organism: Prionailurus viverrinus (fishing cat)
Lineage: Eukaryota; Metazoa; Chordata; Mammalia; Carnivora; Felidae
Exons: 6
Source: RefSeq, a predicted model, not a curated record
CCCACCCCCAACUCACCCUCCAGUCCAGCUGGGCACAGCCCCAGCCUUCUGCCACCCCUACCACCACCCCAGAGGGGCAGGAGGAGGGAGAAGAGGCCAACGGAACUGGCGUUUGAAGAAUUGCCUGAAGAAGACAGGAUAAGCAUCGUCAUUAUACAGGAGAGGAAAUUGAAGCCCAGGAGGGUGUGUGGACUGGCCCAAGGUAGUGACCAAGAACCGCAUCCGCACCCCCACCAUCAGGGUCCUGGACAGCAGCAGGUGUCCCGCAAGGUCUUGAGGGAUGGACAGUAAGGGAUGGAAGAAGGAUUGAAAGACAAGGAACUCUGCCUUUGAGGGUUAAUGAGGACUCGAUGAAAUAAAACUGUAAAGGAACCAGGUCUCCCAGAUGUGUCCUGAAUUCUCAGCUUGCGGAGGGGCCUUGCUGGGUGCACCCAGGCUGCUGUUGAGUGCAUCCAGGCUGUUGGUGAUGCAGUUGAAGUCUGGGUGCUCGGUGACUUGCCCCGGAUCCAGAGGAAGGGGACAGCAGCGGACCCAGGAGUAGGACCCAGGUCCUCUCUGACAUCACCACACCAAGGGGGUCCAGCUGAGAGGAGGACUGUGCACGGUCUUACUGGUGGGCAUGACGGAGGUCAAACCGAAGACUCCAGAGUGCGGCUCUGGGACAAGUCGACGUUUGGGCUGCUGUCUUGAAGAAAAAGGGCUGUUGUUCGUAACAGUGCUCAUGAAUGCUCCGUGGAAUCAGAGUGGAGUUGCUUUGAGCCCGAGCCAGAAUGUUCCAAUCAACCUUUGGCUCUGAUAAAGAUAAGCGGACCCAAGGUGAUAACACACAAAUCAAAAACUGUCAACAGGUGCUAAUUAGGGCACUGGGAGCUGAGUCACACCCACUACACCUGACGUGGGGAGAGAUCUCAGAUGGGGGAGCUGGGAUGAUCUGUGAGGAUAUGGACCCACUGCCUGUACCCCAGCCUAAUGGCCUUUGUUGUCACCUCCUCCUUCUAACGACUGUGCACCCCACCCCCACUCCUGCCUACAUGCAUUACAUAAGAUAGCACAAAAGAACAAAAUCUAGGGGUGCCUGGGUGGCUCGGUCAGUUAAGCAUCUGACUCUAGAUAUUGGCCCAGGACAUGAUCUCAUGGUUUGUGAGUUUGAGAUUCUUGUCACGAUCUCAUGGUUUGUGAAUUCGAGAUCCUUGUUGGGCCCUGCACUAGCAGCACAGAGCUUGAUUGGGAUUCUCUGUCUCCUCUCUCUCUCUGCCCACCCCUGCUCAUUCUCUAUC